RNAcentral lists this ribosomal RNA (497 nucleotides) under uncultured bacterium. RNAcentral's name for it is "partial 16S ribosomal RNA". It matches the Rfam family "Bacterial small subunit ribosomal RNA", at positions 28 to 507 of the family's 1533-position model. The record is from RNAcentral.
GACGAACGCUGGCGGCGUGCUUAACACAUGCAAGUCGAACGGUGAAGCGCCUUCCUUUUUGGUGUGUGUGGAUGAGUGGCGAACGGGUGAGUAACACGUUAGUAACCUGCCCCCUUCUUCUGGAUAACCGCAUGAAAGUGUGGCUAAUACGGGAUAUUCUGGGUCUGUCGCAUGAUGGGUCUGGGAAAGAUAUUGUUUCGGUGGGGGAUGGGCUCGCGGCCUAUCAGCUUGUUGGUGGGGUGAUGGCCUACCAAGGCGGUGACGUGUAGCCGGCCUGAGAGGAGGGUGGACGGCACUAGUGCGGAGGAGACGCGGAGACGACUACUAGGGGCGGCAGCAGUGGAGAAUAUUGAACAAUGGGAGGAAGGAUGAUGCAGCGCCGCGGGGGGAGGGAUGGAGGCCGUCGGGUAGUGAACCUCUUUCGCGAGUGAAGCAGGGUUGCCUAGUUUGUGGGUGGGUUGACGGUAGCUGGAGAAGAAGCGCCGGCUAACUACGUG